This 243-nucleotide ribosomal RNA is filed under the name uncultured bacterium. RNAcentral describes it as "partial 16S ribosomal RNA". It matches the Rfam family "Bacterial small subunit ribosomal RNA", at positions 333 to 593 of the family's 1533-position model. The record is from RNAcentral.
UAAUUCCUACGGGACGCAGCAGUAAGGGAUAUUGGUCAAUGGGGGAAACCCUGAACCAGCAACGCCGCGUGAGGGAAGACGGUUUUCGGAUUGUAAACCUCUGUCCUCUGUGAAGAUGAUGACGGUAGCAGAGGAGGAAGCUCCGGCUAACUACGUGCCAGCAGCCGCGGUAAUACGUAGGGAGCGAGCGUUGUCCGGAUUUAUUGGGUGUAGAGGGCGUGUAGGCGGGAAAGCAAGUCAGAU